RNAcentral lists this ribosomal RNA (313 nucleotides) under uncultured bacterium. RNAcentral's name for it is "bacterial SSU rRNA". It matches the Rfam family "Bacterial small subunit ribosomal RNA", at positions 30 to 347 of the family's 1533-position model. The record is from RNAcentral.
AUUGAACGCUGGCGGCAUGCCUUACACAUGCAAGUCGAACGGCAGCAGACCUUCGGGUGCCGGCGAGUGGCGAACGGUGAGUAAUAUAUCGGAACGUACCUUCAGGUGGGGAUAACGUAGCGAAAGUUACGCUAAUACCGCAUAUUCUGUGAGCAGGAAAGCAGGGGAUCGCAAGACCUUGCGCUGAUUGAGCGGCCGAUAUCAGAUUAGCUAGUUGGUGAGGUAAAGGCUCACCAAGGCGACGAUCUGUAGCGGGUCUGAGAGGAUGAUCCGCCACACUGGAACUGAGACACGGUCCAGACUCCUACGGGAG